Molecule: long non-coding RNA, 738 nt
Organism: Nicotiana attenuata
Lineage: Eukaryota; Viridiplantae; Streptophyta; Magnoliopsida; Solanales; Solanaceae
Exons: 3
Source: RefSeq, a predicted model, not a curated record
AAAAAUUCCAUGUAUAGCUACAUAAAAUUUCCUCCCCAACUUACCGUCGUUUUUGCAUUUCUCUACGAACAUAAUGUAAGCCGACAUAACGAUAGUUUCUCCAUCUCUGAAGCAGAAGCUGAAGAACUCCCUCCGCUUCGUUCAACGCCACCCUCCUCCGCCGUCAUCCUCCGAUGAACUCAAUAACCUUCCGAAUUUGAAAAAGAAUAAAGUCUAAACUGUUUAUUUUUCCAUUUGAAAAAAUGAAAGGAAGGUUCCAAGACAUUUACUGCUCUUCUUCAGCUGAUCUUUCUCCUAAUUCUUCAAAAAAAGGAAUUGGUUGAGAACAACUAUGAAAAGCAUAAUUGAGGGAACCUUGUGUUAGCCAAUACUUUAGGUGUCUUGGUUUUCUCUUUAAUCAGAGCUGGAAAAAGAGGGCUGUAUAGAAGAUAUUGGAAUAAAUUAAGCUGGUUUUCAAUUGAUAUUGUAUUGUUGAAUAUUGAAGAUAUUUGAAGGAAGCUGGAGAAGGAGAUAUAUAGACGUGAAGCAGUAAAGAGAAAAAAUGAACAAACAAAAAGAAGGAAAAGGUCAAGUUGACUAAACUGAAGCUGUUUAUUGUAAGUUUGGUUGCAUAAUCCAGGCAAGAACAAGUACGCGGUGACCUUUAUUAUUGAGUAGAAGUAUGUUCUUGUUCUAACCAAUCAAAAUUGUUACAAGUUUCUACAUCAAUUUAUAUCGAUAUAGACUAAUUUUCUCUCU